Molecule: ribosomal RNA, 344 nt
Filed under: uncultured bacterium
Lineage: Bacteria
Description: bacterial SSU rRNA
Rfam family: Bacterial small subunit ribosomal RNA
Source: RNAcentral
AGAGUUUGAUCAUGGCUCAGGACGAACGCUGGCGGCGCGCCUAACACAUGCAAGUCGAACGAGAGAUGAGGAGCUUGCUCUUCAAAUCGAGUGGCGAACGGGUGAGUAACGCGUGAGGAACCUGCCUCAAAGAGGGGACAACAGUUGGAAACGACUGCUAAUACCGCAUAAGCCCACGGCUCGGCAUCGAGCAGAGGGAAAAGGAGUGAUCCGCUUUGAGAUGGCCUCGCGUCCGAUUAGCUAGUUGGUGAGUAACGGCCACAAGGCAACGAUCGGUAGCCGGACUGAGAGGUUGAACGGCCACGAUUGGGACUGAGACACGGCCCAGACUCCUACGGGAGGCA